This 23-nucleotide non-coding RNA is filed under the name Arabidopsis thaliana (thale cress). The record is from RNAcentral. Lineage: Eukaryota; Viridiplantae; Streptophyta; Magnoliopsida; Brassicales; Brassicaceae.
UUAUGAAAAUGGUCUAUGUAAGA